This 215-nucleotide long non-coding RNA is filed under the name Trifolium pratense (red clover). RNAcentral's name for it is "long non-coding RNA (TPRA_LNC000344)". The record is from RNAcentral. Lineage: Eukaryota; Viridiplantae; Streptophyta; Magnoliopsida; Fabales; Fabaceae.
AUAAAUUUCUUUUGUUCUUCUAUUCUUCAUCCCUUUGCAACAACCCAAUUUCUUCCUAACCCAAAAACAUAAUUCUUCUUCCCAAUUCUUCAUCCAUCAAUUCAAUCCUUAACCCAUAAAUUCAAAAACCCAGUUUCUGCCUUUAUAGGAAAUCCGGUUCCUAGUUCCUGCCUUUGUUCUUCAUCAAUCAUUUGUUUCGACGAAUUCGGCGGAGU